Molecule: ribosomal RNA, 253 nt
Filed under: uncultured bacterium
Lineage: Bacteria
Description: partial 16S ribosomal RNA
Rfam family: Bacterial small subunit ribosomal RNA
Source: RNAcentral
UACGUAGGGUGCAAGCGUUGUCCGGAAUCAUUGGGCGUAAAGCGCGCGUAGGUGGCUUCGUAAGUCCGUUGUGAAAGUCAAAGGCUCUAACCUUGAAUGCCGAUGGAUACUGCGAAGCUAGAGUACGGAAGAGGCGAGUGGAAUUCCUGGUGUAGCGGUGGAAUGCGCAGAUAUCAGGAGGAACACCAAUAGCGAAGGCAGCUCGCUGGGACGUUACUGACACUAAGGCGCGAAAGCGUGGGGAGCGAACAGG